Molecule: non-coding RNA, 74 nt
Organism: Gambusia affinis (western mosquitofish)
Lineage: Eukaryota; Metazoa; Chordata; Actinopteri; Cyprinodontiformes; Poeciliidae
Source: the annotation of a RefSeq genome assembly
GGCUGGUUAGCUCAGCUGGUCAGAGUCGGGUACUUAUGAUGCCAAGGUUGUGGGUUCAAUCCCUACACUAGCCA